UGGAGAUAUAGUGCUGACCAAGAAGCCCUGCUUACUCUGGAAAGAGAACUACAAAGUUAUACAAGUCUUCAGGAAAAACUUUGCAGCUUAACUUCUGAAGACUUCUGUAGUACAGAUUUCCACAAAAAUCUGGAACUAAAAGACCACAGUGGAGCUGAUACUUUAAGGGGCUGGGAUGAAAGCCAAAUGGAUGAUGAGGAAGAAAUUCUGAAGGAUAAGCAACAGGUUCUUGCGUUACAGUGAACAUGCAGAGAACUUAAUGCAAUUGUUAUUCUUUACAUAAGAUACAAAAACAAGAAGCAGAUGAAGAGGUGUCUUGAGUGCUGCUGAUAUUAUUUAUAAGGAUUAUUUUGUAAGUCUGUGAAUAAAA
This 370-nucleotide long non-coding RNA is filed under the name Apteryx owenii (little spotted kiwi). RNAcentral's name for it is "lncRNA (ENSAOWG00000015607.1)". Lineage: Eukaryota; Metazoa; Chordata; Aves; Apterygiformes; Apterygidae. The record is from RNAcentral.